UCGUGCUGGGGAUAGAGCAUUGCAAUUAUUGCUCUUCAACGAGGAAUCCCUAGUAAGCGCAAGUCAUCAGCUUGCGUUGAUUACGUCCCUGCCCUUUGUACACACCGCCCGUCGCUACUACCGAUUGAAUGGUUCAGUGAGGCUUUCGGACUGGCCCAGGGAGGUCGGCAACGACCACCCAGGGCCGGAAAGUUAUCCAAACUCGAUCAUUUAGAGGAAGUAAAAGUCGUAACAAGGUCUCCGUUGGUGAACCAGCGGAGGGAUCAUUGCUGGAACGCGCCCUAGGCGCACCCAGAAACCCUUUGUGAACUUGAUACCUUACUGUUGCCUCGGCGCAUGCUGGCCCCCUCGGGGUCCCCUGGAGACAGGGAGCAGGCACGCCGGCGGCCAAGUUAACUCUUGUUUUUACACUGAAACUCUGAGAAAAAAACACAAAUGAAUCAAAACUUUCAACAACGGAUCUCUUGGUUCUGGCAUCGAUGAAGAACGCAGCGAAAUGCGAUAAGUAAUGUGAAUUGCAGAAUUCAGUGAAUCAUCGAAUCUUUGAACGCACAUUGCGCCCUCUGGUAUUCCGGAGGGCAUGCCUGUUCGAGCGUCAUUUCAACCCUCAAGCAUUGCUUGGUGUUGGGGCACUGCCUGUAAACGGGCAGGCCCUGAAAUCUAGUGGCGAGCUCGCUAGGACCCCGAGCGUAGUAGUUAAACCCUCGCUUUGGAAGGCCCUGGCGGUGCCCUGCCGUUAAACCCCCAACUUUUGAAAAUUUGACCUCGGAUCAGGUA
Molecule: ribosomal RNA, 777 nt
Filed under: Diaporthales sp. DZY08
Lineage: Eukaryota; Fungi; Ascomycota; Sordariomycetes; Diaporthales
Description: eukaryotic LSU rRNA
Rfam family: Eukaryotic small subunit ribosomal RNA (bases 1-269)
Source: RNAcentral